AGCCCGCACAAUGACUUCCAGCUGGAGCAGCCCAGCCAGCCUGCGCGCUCACUCGCUUGCUUGCGCUGGGCUUCAGGGCGCCCGGAUUUCUUGCUUCAAAACAGCUGCAUUUUUGGAAGAAAGUCCACAACUGACAACUAAGCAAAACCCUCCUGGUGGAUAGCAUAAAUCUGCUUUGUUGAAGCUGCUCAUUUGUCUGAUCUAUGAGUCCAGAAGAUGCAAACUCCCUUCCCAGCUUAUGCAAAAAUACUUCCAGUAAAAACAAGCCCUUUGGCCCUUUUCUUUUGUCAGUCCAGAUUUCAGCAUGUUCUUCGCUUUGUUAUUCAUCAUUUUAUGUAUUUGGACCCAUCCUCAAACAGACUUUAAACCGUUUAAAGGCAAGGAGGGACUCUUUCGUAAACCUUUAAUCCCCUGGCCCAGCUGAGUAGAUGCACAGUGUCUUUUGAUGAUGGUGAUAUGGAAUGAUUAAUAACCACACAAGGCAUUCGGUUGGUCAAGUCACUGUUUAUUGGCUCAAAAUAAUCCUUGGUUUCUGUAUGUCUACAGCUCACUUCCUAAACAGUUAAAUCCGGAGAAGUCUAAUAGAUAAUAGUUGGUGAUCAUAAAUAUAAAUAACCAAUACAUUAGAAUGUGUAGUCAAAAUAGGAAUACUUGCUUUUCACUUACUUCCCACGGGUCGCUGCUGGUGGUAGUCAACACAAAUAAAAAUUUGAACUCAUUUUGUUAUUCAUCUAAAAUGAGAAACUCGGUGAAACAUUGAUUUUCUAAAAUUGCUGCAUAUUUAAAUGUGAUUAUAAUUGCUUUUUAGCAUUUUAAAAUUGUAACAUCGAUACCAAAUGCUUAAGAAUCUAAAGAAUAGUCUAUUGGGGCUGGCCUAUUUUGUGUAAAAUGGUCUGUAUCAUAAUGGAUGACUGAUUAUCCCAUCCACAUUAUUUGGAUUCACUUAAUACUAGGUUUUAACGUUAGGAGAAUAAAACCCUCAAGAAACCUAACAUAGAUUUGUAUAUUUAGUUUUCUCCUUCCUUAUCAUCUUCCACCAGACUUACAGGUGUUCCACCUGCUUGUAGUUUCGGUAAUAAUACCAGCUGGCGGUGGUUCCUAACUCUAGCUACACUUUAAAAUUACCUCGUGCAUUUAAAAAAAAAAUGCAGUUGUUUAGGUUCUUCCCCUAGAUAUUUUAAUUUACAAGGUUUGGGAUGUGGCCUGGGCACCGAUUUUUUUAACUUUUUAUUUGAAUGUAGACUUACAGGAAGUUGCAAAGAUAGUACAGAGAGGUCUGAUAGAGCCUCCACUGUUGGUUACAUCCCGCAUAGCUAGAGCACAAUAAUAAAGCCAGGACAUUGACACUGAGAUAAAAUGUGCCUGUGAUUCUGUGUCACCUUAUCCCUGAAGACUCUUGUAAUCAUUACCACAAUCAAAAUACAAACUAUUUCAACACCACGAAGAUCUCUCUCAUACAGUCCCUUUAUGGUCGUCCCUUUCUUUCCCCCACACCAUCCCUAACCCUUUGCAACCAUCAGUCUGUUCUCCAUUUCUAUAAUUUUGUCGUUUGGGGAAUGUUUUAUAAAUUGGUCCUCACAGCUUGUGACCUUCUAAGAUUAGCUCACCAUCCCCCCCACCCCCCCACCCCACCCAACUCAGCAGAAUGCCCUAGAGAUUUAUCCAAGUUAUUGCAGGUAUUUCUAGUUUGUUCCUUUCUGUUACUGAGUUCUACACUAUGGGUGUAACACAGUUUGUUUAAUCAUUCAGCAUUCACCUAUCAUACAUUUUGGUUCCUUCUUUUUUUGGGCGGGGGGAGUGCCUAUUACAAAUAAAACUGUCUUGAAAAAUUG
RNAcentral lists this long non-coding RNA (1832 nucleotides) under Homo sapiens (human). RNAcentral's name for it is "non-protein coding lnc-MBOAT1-2:31". Lineage: Eukaryota; Metazoa; Chordata; Mammalia; Primates; Hominidae. The record is from RNAcentral.